UACGAGGGGGGCGAGCGUUGUUCGGAAUUAUUGGGCGUAAAGGGCGCGUAGGCGGUGCGGUAAGUCACCUGUGAAACCUCUGGGCUCAACUCAGAGCCUGCAGGCGAAACUGCCGUGCUGGAGUGUGGGAGAGGUGCGUGGAAUUCCCGGUGUAGUGGUGAAAUGCGUAGAUAUCUGGAGGAACACCGGUGGCGAAGGCGGCAUCCUGGACCAACACUGACACUGAGGAGCGAAAGCCAGGGGAGCAAACAGG
Molecule: ribosomal RNA, 253 nt
Filed under: uncultured bacterium
Lineage: Bacteria
Description: partial 16S ribosomal RNA
Rfam family: Bacterial small subunit ribosomal RNA
Source: RNAcentral